Molecule: unclassified non-coding RNA, 342 nt
Filed under: Melitaea cinxia (Glanville fritillary)
Lineage: Eukaryota; Metazoa; Arthropoda; Insecta; Lepidoptera; Nymphalidae
Description: misc RNA ENSMCXG00005004855.1
Source: RNAcentral
AACAGUCACUACUACGAUCGGUACACAAAUAAAACCAAAAAAAAAACAAUGGCCGAAAACAGUAUAGUGAGUAAGACAGGAGACCGGCUUUAUUCUCAUCCCUACUCCGUGAUGUUUGCUGGAUGAGAGGUGACAACGUAAUGUAGACAUCUAGCGGGGAUAACUGAUCGAUUGAUAGUUAUCGACCGGCGAAGGCAGGAGAUCAAAUUGAAUUGAGAAAAAAAUCACAAUUAAAGGAAAUUAUUAAAAAUAAUAAAAAAUAAAAAUUGCGAUGGAAAAAUAGGAGUAAUAUAUUUUUUUUUUAUUCUAAGUCAUGACAAAAUAAAAAUAAAAAUCCUGCCA